UCUUUUCUUCUGGGGAGAGAGGAGACAUGGGAAUGUGAGAGGACAGCAGGACUUUCAAGAGGGGAGUUCAUAGACAUAUCAAAAGUUCCUGAAAGAUUUCUCUGGUGGCGCUGUCACUUGGUGUUCGCUCGCUUUGUGUGUGGGAGUCUCAACAUUUCUUACCCCUGGUGUCCAAAACGCUACGUUUCUGUUAUCCUGUGAAAGAGAACAUUCAGAAACCAAGGCUGUUUUUUAUUCCUAGUUGUCACAGAGAGCAACGUAAAGCCGCUUCUUGGACCAUAUGCAUGAAUACUGCUUCUACUUUUGUUAUAUUGUCUCUUUGUAUUUAAUGGCACAAGAAUUGCAUAUUAAAACAAACUACAGCUUCACACUUGAGGAGAAAGAAUAUUUCAAACCAUUAUUUUACACUGAUCCAGCAGCUUCAUGGGCCUAAUUUUUAUCCUCGUCAGGCUGGAGAUCCUCGACAGCUGAGGGAAGCUGAAUGUUUUACAGAUUCAAAGAGUAAACUCUGGGGAUGCGGAAGCCAUUAAACGAGCCAUUAUUGGACACGGACAAAACAGUAUAAACAGCGGUUGCAAAACAUAGAAAGAAAACAUUUAGUAAAGGUUUUGCAGUCAAUUUUUACUGCUCUGUUGCAGUGCUGCAGAAGUGACCUCUUUCUUGUUAGAUGUAAAUGUCAUUACAGAUGGCUGACAUUCAGUAAAAGGACAGAGCAGAAGCUGACAAACUGACAAAAGAAGCAAACGGGGAACGUGCUCUUCACAGCGCAGCAGAGAAGAUUCUAGUUCUUUAAGCCAGAACCCUCAACUCCCUCAAGCCUCCGGGUGCUGUGUGUGAAGGGAAUGAGAUGCACUGUACUUAAUUAAGAAACAAGCUUCUGAUUAAUAGAUUCAAAGCAACAAAGAUGAAGUGCCCAGACAGGGAUAAACAGAGAAGACAGAAGUGCAGCUGGCUGCUUGAUCACAGAACAUGACGUGAUUAUAAAAAAGUGAAAAGAAUCAGUUUUACAGGAUAUCGCUUCAGUUCUCACUGCAAUAAAAAAAAAACACCAAAAAACAUCAUGCUCAUUCAUUCACUUUUAACAAAAGGUCAGUUGUUUAUUCGAGUAUUACAGUUUUCAUGCAGUACAGUGCUCCGUGCGUGGUUGUGCACUCUUGCAUGAAAGGUGAUUUUUUCCAAAUGGCCU
This is a long non-coding RNA of Oreochromis niloticus (Nile tilapia), 1186 nucleotides long. RefSeq lists it as uncharacterized. The transcript has 3 exons. The record is from RefSeq and is a predicted model, not a curated record. NCBI's taxonomy places the organism in Eukaryota, Metazoa, Chordata, Actinopteri, Cichliformes, Cichlidae.